GAGAACGCCGGCGGCGUGCCUAAUACAUGCAAGUAGAAGCUGAAGCAGGUGCUUGCACCGAGCGGAUGAGUUCCGAACGGGUGAGUAACGCGUAGGUAACCUGCCUCUCAGCGGGGGAUAACUAUUGGAAACGAUAGCUAAACCGCAUAAAAGUCGAUAUCGCAUGAUAUUGAUUUGAAAGGUGCAAAUGCAUCACUAAGAGAUGGACCUGCGUUGUAUUAGCUAGUUGGUGAGGUAACGGCUCACCACGGCGACGAUACAUAGCCGACCUGAGAGGGUGAUCGGCCACACUGGGACUGAGACACGGCCCAGACUCCUACGGGAGGCAGCAGUAGGGAAUCUUCGGCAAUGGGGGCAACCCUGACCGAGCAACGCCGCGUGAGUGAAGAAGGUUUUCGGAUCGUAAAGCUCUGUUGUAAGAGAAGAACGAGUGUGAGAGUGGAAAGUUCACACUGUGACGGUAACUUACCAGAAAGGGACGGCUAACUACGUGCCAGCAGCCGCGGUAAUACGUAGGUCCCGAGCGUUAUCCGGAUUUAUUGGGCGUAAAGCGAGCGCAGGCGGUUAGAUAAGUCUGAAGUUAAAGGCUGUGGCUUAACCAUAGUACGCUUUGGAAACUGUUUAACUUGAGUGCAGAAGGGGAGAGUGGAAUUCCAUGUGUAGCGGUGAAAUGCGUAGAUAUAUGGAGGAACACCGGUGGCGAAAGCGGCUCUCUGGUCUGUAACUGACGCUGAGGCUCGAAAGCGUGGGGAGCAAACAGG
Molecule: ribosomal RNA, 761 nt
Filed under: uncultured Streptococcus sp.
Lineage: Bacteria; Bacillati; Bacillota; Bacilli; Lactobacillales; Streptococcaceae
Description: bacterial SSU rRNA
Rfam family: Bacterial small subunit ribosomal RNA
Source: RNAcentral